GAACGGGUUAGUGGCGCACGGGUGAGUAACACGUAGGUGACCUACCCCAGAGUGGGGGAUAACUUCUCGAAAGAGAGGCUAAUACCGCAUACACUCGGUCAUUCAUUUGGCCGAGCAAAGCUCCGGCGCUUUGGGACGGGCCUGCGUCCGAUUAGCUAGUUGGUAGGGUAAUGGCUUACCAAGGCUUUGAUCGGUAGCUGGUCUGAGAGGACGAUCAGCCACACUGGCACUGACACACGGGCCAGACUCCUACGGGAGGCAGCAGUGAGGAAUAUUGGGCAAUGGGCGAAAGCCUGACCCAGCAACGCCGCGUGAGGGAUGAAGGCCUUCGGGUUGUAAACCUCUUUUCUGGGAGAAGAGACAAGGACGGUAUCCCAGGAAUAAGUCUCGGCUAACUACGUGCCAGCAGCCGCGGUAAUACGUAGGAGGCAAGCGUUAUCCGGAUUCACUGGGCGUAAAGCGCACGCAGGCGGUUAUGUAAGUCGGACGUGAAAGCUCCUGGCUCAACUGGGAGAGGUCGUUCGAUACUGCAUAGCUUGAGGUUGGGAGAGGGAAGCGGAAUUCCCGGUGUAGUGGUGGAAUGCGUAGAUAUCGGGAGGAACACCAGUGGCGAAAGCGGCUUCCUGGCCCAUACCUGACGCUCAGGUGCGAAAGCGUGGGGAGCGAACGGGAUUAGAUACCCCGGUAGUCCACGCUGUAAACGAUGCGAACUAGGUGUUGGUAGUAUUAAUCCUAUCAGUGCCGUAGCUAACGCGAUAAGUUCGCCGCCUGGGGACUACGGCCGCAAGGCUAAAACUCAAAGGAAUUGACG
Molecule: ribosomal RNA, 811 nt
Filed under: uncultured bacterium
Lineage: Bacteria
Description: bacterial SSU rRNA
Rfam family: Bacterial small subunit ribosomal RNA
Source: RNAcentral